This 497-nucleotide ribosomal RNA is filed under the name uncultured bacterium. Its description in RNAcentral is "partial 16S ribosomal RNA". It matches the Rfam family "Bacterial small subunit ribosomal RNA", at positions 28 to 507 of the family's 1533-position model. The record is from RNAcentral.
GAUGAACGCUGGCGGCGUGCCUAAUACAUGCAAGUCGAGCGAACGGACGAUAAGCUUGCUUCUCUGAUGUUAGCGGCGGACGGGUGAGUAACACGUGGAUAACCUACCUAUAAGACUGGGAUAACUUCGGGAAACCGUAGCUAAUACCGGAUAAUAUUUUGAACCGCAUGGUUCAAAAGUGAAAGACGGUCUUGCUGUCACUUAUAGAUGGAUCCGCGCUGCAUUAGCUAGUUGGUAAGGUAACGGCUUACCAAGGCAACGAUGCAUAGCCGACCUGAGAGGGUGAUCGGCCACACUGGAACUGAGACACGGUCCAGACUCCUACGGGAGGCAGCAGUAGGGAAUCUUCCGCAAUGGGCGAAAGCCUGACGGAGCAACGCCGCGUGAGUGAUGAAGGUCUUCGGAUCGUAAAACUCUGUUAUUAGGGAAGAACAUAUGUGUAAGUAACUGUGCACAUCUUGACGGUACCUAAUCAGAAAGCCACGGCUAACUACGUG